CUUGGUGCAUAUGCAGUAGUUUAUAUUUAAUUGCCAUUCAUGAAGAAGUUAGCCAUGCAAGUCUGACUUUGUGGCGGCUGUUCUUCAAAAUGAAAUGAUUGUAAUCUUAACUCAGUGUGACAGUAGUCAGUGUUGAGUGCUGCUGCUGCAAGCCACGUUUAAACAUUUAAAAUGGCUAACAGUUGAAAACAUUCAUUGGAAAUUUAGGUAAAAUGGAACCAAAAAAGUAAUUCAAUGUAAUAAGUUACAUUCCUUUGAUAAAGUAAUUGCAAUAGUUACACUACUAUGACGUUUGAAAUAGUGUAACUUGUAAUGGGUAACCUAUUUCAUUUCCAAAGGCCAGGGAUUGAACCACCGACGUUCCAAUUGGUGGACGAUCGCUCUACCACUUUCUCACUAUUUGUUUUUCUCUCACUAUGUUACUGACAUUUAGACCAAAUGUUUCAUAAAA
Sander lucioperca (pikeperch) is the source of this 451-nucleotide long non-coding RNA. RefSeq lists it as uncharacterized. The record is from RefSeq and is a predicted model, not a curated record. The transcript has 2 exons. NCBI's taxonomy places the organism in Eukaryota, Metazoa, Chordata, Actinopteri, Perciformes, Percidae.